RNAcentral lists this transfer RNA (85 nucleotides) under Capra hircus (goat). It matches the Rfam family "tRNA". From Rfam's summary of the family: Transfer RNA (tRNA) molecules are approximately 80 nucleotides in length. Their secondary structure includes four short double-helical elements and three loops (D, anti-codon, and T loops). Lineage: Eukaryota; Metazoa; Chordata; Mammalia; Artiodactyla; Bovidae. The record is from Rfam by way of RNAcentral. RNAcentral also lists the same sequence under 1 other name.
UCCCAGGUGGCUCAGUGGGUAAAGAACCUGCCUGCAAUGCAGGAGAGGCAGGAGACUUGGUUGGGUUCGAUCCCCAGGUUGGGAA